RNAcentral lists this ribosomal RNA (426 nucleotides) under uncultured bacterium. Its description in RNAcentral is "partial 16S ribosomal RNA". It matches the Rfam family "Bacterial small subunit ribosomal RNA", at positions 520 to 953 of the family's 1533-position model. The record is from RNAcentral.
GUUAUACGUAUNUCNCNAGCGUUNUCCGGAUUUAUUGGNGUNAAAGCGCGUNUAGGCGGUUUGUNAGUCUGAUGUGNAAAUGCGGGCUCAACCCCGUNUUGCGUUGGAACUGCUAAACUAGAGUACUGAGAGGUGGGCGGAACUACAAGUGUAGAGGUGAAAUUCGUAGAUAUUUGUAGGAAUGCCGAUGGAGAAGUCAGCCCACUGGACAGAUGCUGACGCUGAAGCGCGAAAGCGUGGGUAGCAAACAGGAUUAGAUACCCUGGUAGUCCACGCCGUAAACGAUGAUUACUAGGUGUUGGGGGUCGAACCUCAGCGCCCAAGUUAACGCGAUAAGUAAUCCGCCUGGGGAGUACGUACGCAAGUAUGAAACUCAAAGGAAUUGACGGGGACCCGCACAAGCGGUGGAGCAUGUGGUUUAAUUCG